AUGGCUCGCGGCGAUCAUCAAAACGAUGAUGAUGAUUUCAUGGAUGCACCGCAGCAGAAUCGGACAACUGGACGGAGAAAAUACGGCGAUGAGAAGAAGAAACAUACUCGCAAUAGGGCUUCGCAGGAACGCCUGACUUCAUUGACCGACAGAUUUACCGACGAUCAGAAGGGAGCUGCUGCUGAGAUGGGUAUGCAGGCUCUGAUGGAUGUCCGGGAAUUUGUGAUUCCGGGACGUGGAAGACUGCCGUUGGACGAGGAAUCCGUGUUCUGCACUUUGGGUGUGCCCCGUGGAGAAAUCAAAGUCCCGUAUGAGGUCAAUAAUAAGAUCGAGGAAACAUUGUUUCCCCAUUUGUUUCCUGGGUUGGAAUCCAUGCCGAACACUACUUUCCUGGCAGAUUCGCUGCAGGCCAUGACAACCCAUGGCGAGGUUUUUAAGAUGAAGCUACUCAUGUACCUCAUCUCAGCUGUUUUCACACCGACCACUUCUCUUCGCCCAAGCAACAAAUGCUUCCCCAUCCUGGUGAAUGAUCUAUCUAUACUCCUUUAUUUCCUUCAAUCUUUUGGCUCUGAUGUCAUAUGUCUCAUGUACGUCGACUGUCUUGAUCUGUCCACCGUGAACUACACUGGGACAGGAGGCCCGCCGCCCACACACAAGUUUGCUGUUUCUGCAUGGACUUACGAUGCUGUCAAGGCUGUGCGUGCUGCAGAUAGGGUAACUGAUACGAAAUAUGGGAAACUGCAGCUGAUGGCCAAGCAUGCUAUAGACUACAUCAUGUUUGGGGGACCUCAAAACUUUGGAAAGUGGAUGAACGUGCACUCAGCCCCGUCUUGCCCUACUGAGGCGAGGGCACCUGUUGAGCAUCUAAUUGGGCAGUUUGCAUUCGGAAUGACCAACUUGCUCGGGAAGUUGGUUGAGGGUUGGACGUCCCUUAGUGGCUCUGACAGAGACGCGGUUGCGAGGUACAUUUAUUGCAGAACGGACACAUCGGCCAACUGGUUGCCAUGGCCGCAUGACACCGAUGAUGAUGAACAUGUUGAAGUUCGUGCAGGCGGUAAGAAGGGCAAGGCUGCACCAGAUGUCCCCUCACCAGAGAAAGUCAAAGAACAUACAGCUGCGAGAGGCGAGGGGGUGUUGCCCUCAAAGAGGGGGAGGGAUCCAGAGGAUGUUGGGCAGGGUUCUCCUGGCAAGUGGUCUAGGACCGAUCCCAUAGCUGAUAGGAGGAGGGUGAAGAAGACUACUACACACGCGACCAAGCAUAUCAUUAGGGACCCACUCGAACACCUUCAUUCAAAGUUGUCAACAGGUGGCAACUCAGAUGUUCAUGAGGCGCCAGUCGACAAAACUGUUGAUGCACCGUCAACUGUUCCCACUAACUCUGAUGCAAGCGGCCGACCAUCUCCGCCGUCAACUGUUCCCACUAACUCUGACGCAAGCGGCCGACCAUCUCCACCGGUUGCAGACGUGCAGGCUACAACAACAGGCAUCCAUACAUCAGGGAGUGACAAGUCGGUAUCUGCCAGGACUGCUGAAAUAUUGCCCACUCUGCUGGCAAUGAAGGAUGCUGCUGUGAGCCAUGCCACCCCAUCAGCAAGCGUUGAAGUGGACGCCCCCGAGACCAACCUAAGCAAGGAAGAUUCCCGCUCAUCUGAAAUGGAUUCCAAGCGCGUGCAUGGUGGCACUCCUAUGUCCACGACAGAAGUGGCUGAGGCGACAGUUCAUAAUGAUAUGCCAUCCACAGGUGAGAGUUUUGGCACAACAGCUCCAGCUCCUGGUGGUGCAGAGGUUGCUAAGGCAACUGUUUCGCGAGCUGGUCUUCCACCUAGGCAUCGUAGCCCCCGCAAGCAAUCAAUAGACAUACCCAACGCACCGGCUGUAGCUAGGAGCAGCAGAGAUGAGUUUGGUUAUGUUCCUGCGUCCACACUGUUCCCACCACCUGCCAAAAGCAAUGUUAUGAAGAAACCAGAAGACCGGAGUACAGCUGAUGCACGUGUCAAGCCGGGCACGAGUGAUGGAGGUGAACAUCCGGAGCAGACUGCGUCUUUACCCGCAGUGGAGAACCCUAGCUUAAAUCUGUGCACUUCCAAGCUCCUAGUCAAUGUUGGUGUCCCCUAUAGCCCAAACAAGAAGAUUGUCAAGAAAGCUGCGGCUGAUACCGCUGACAACACGCCCUGCCCUAUGAAUAAUCCCGAUGAUUCUGCAGCGGUCGAUUCAGAUAUGUUUGUUGAUCUUUCACCCUUGGAUUCUGCCCCGCAAGUUGUUCGCGGUCCGGCCAGUAGGCAUGAGAGGCACCCAAUGGCCUUCACCCCACUGAGCUUUAGCCUUGGCACCAGUCAAGAUCAACCAGUGGUGCAAGAUCCUACGCCAGUUGCCUUUGCUUUCCCGAGAGGCAUGGCCGCAAUGAUGGCGCAGCCAAUGGUCGAGGGCAGGAAGGCUGUCAAGUUCGCAGAGCCGAUCGUCCAAGGUAUCCUAACCCACUUUUUGAUCCUUGCAGGCACCCCUGAGGAGAUCUCGCCGUCACUUGAUGAAGUUUACCGCAGGAUUGAGGAGGCAACAUCGCAGAGGAGGUCCUCACGAGGUCAGGGGCAAUCAAGUUCCAACGUGCCUGCUGAGACAAUAUCUGAGGAUACCAUUAGAAGUGCCACCCCUGGUUUUGUGAGGCAAACCAAGGUCAUACAAUGCGAAGCGACGUACGUCGACCUGGGUGAUCUUGCCGAGUCCGUGAGGCCACUCGGUAAAAUAUCGACGAAUGUAGUUGCAUGUGGGAUUGACUUCAUCAACAAGCAUAUGGAUAUGUCUCCCGACAAAACAAUCAUGCAUUACAGUGUGACCUGUAAAUAUGGGAUGGAGCUUGCACCACAUGACCCACACGACAAGUGUGGUCACCACUACGCGAUCUACCUUGACCUGAAGAACCAACGUUUUGAGGUGCUUGAUUCAAUGCGUUCGGCAGCUGAUGCAGACCUUACUACGCAUGAUGAAUACUUCAUCAACAACCUCAAAGAGACAUGGAACCGUCACUACGAACACUCAAAGGUCUGGAUCAGGCAUUUUCCAAUUGAGUACAUGGCGACUACGAAGCAAGGGAACAAGACGGACUGUGGCUUUCACACGUUGGAAUACCUUGCAAAGUGGGAAGGUAGACUGGUUCCUGUUGUCAUAGCUGCAAUGACCGUUGAGCUCCGGAAAAUUUACACAUGGAACUGGUUGACGAAUGAAGAUUUCAACAAGCGGUCCGGAGCACGUGAGUUCAUAGAGGAAGCUAUCAAAUAA
Molecule: ribosomal RNA, 3273 nt
Filed under: Triticum aestivum (bread wheat)
Lineage: Eukaryota; Viridiplantae; Streptophyta; Magnoliopsida; Poales; Poaceae
Description: partial small subunit ribosomal RNA
Source: RNAcentral